UAGAGUUUCCACAUGCCCUUCAUUCAGCUUCCCUGAAUGUUACCAUCUUAUAGAACCAUGGUACAUUUAUCAAAACCAAGAAAUUAGCAUUAGUAUAAUACUAUUAACUGAACUACAGAAUUUAUUCAGAUUUCCCCAGGUUUUUUCCUGCUAAUGUCUAUUUUUUGUUCCACAAUUUAAUCCAGGAUACAACGUUACAUUUAGCAGUGGAUUAUCUUCAAAUGCAGAUGGUCAGGUCUCCACACCCAGGAAGCAUGUUUUGGCCUGCACUCUGAGACCAGUGUUCGGUCCUCGACAAGGCCUAAGGGCCCAUGCCUGCUUCUGCAGCCUCAUCUCACCCUGCUCUGGGCUUCAAGUAGGAGCCACUGGGAUUUCCAAUCAUCAACAUCACCUCCUCUCCCUUCUCUCAAGCUGUUCCAUCUGUACCAACACUCUUCCCUUCUUUUUGGCCAGCUGCUUAUCCAUUCGGGCUCAGCUUACAUGUGUUACUUCCUCACAGUGGCCCACUCAGCCCUUCAGACUGGGUGAGUCUCCUGCUAUAGGCUUUGCAUACUUGGGACCACUUUAGAGACGGUUUAUUGUGCCUGAUUCACUCCCCAUUAGACUAUCAGCUCCUCUAGGGCAGGGAUCAUGCUUCUUUUGAUCUCUGCUGUAUCUCUACUAUGUAGAAUAUGCCUGGUACCUGAUAGACUUUUAAUGAAAAUGUGUCAAUUAACUCACAUCCUGUGCCACUUUCUACCAAUCACUUCCCCUCGCUGGACCUCAGUUUUCUCACCUGCAGACUGAGGAAUUUAAUUUGUUCACUGAUUUUCCAAUUGUGUUUGGAAACCCUAGAAUUUCUGGGGCUCAAGAGGAGCUACAUUUAAAGAGCAUAUGUUUUCAUGUGCUUCAAAAUUGGGCUUCUGAGAAAGAUCUCUCUUAAUGGAUUUUGAAGAUUCUGCUGCUUAAAAAGGCAGUGGUGAGCCAUUGAAGGUUUCUGAACAGGGAAGCACUUAUUGGGAGCUGUCAGAGCUGUGCUUCAGGAGAUGAAUCUGGCAACAAUACUCAGGCUGCAGGCCCAUUCAUCAGGCAUGCUGUGCAUGGGCUUCUUGCCCUGGCAUGGAGUGUGGAUGCGACGAGUUCCAUGCUCCCUCCUGGCUCCGAGACUUGAUGACUGCAAGAAUGACAGCCCGCUUGAAGAAUGGGCAGUUGGGCUCACCUUUCUCACCGACCUCAGGACUGGAGGCAUGAGGGGGGCAACUAGAAAAGAGUUCAGCCCUGGGGAAGACGCCAUCCCUAGGAAACUCUCCUCUGAGCCCUCCCUUGGCUUCCACAGGCUCUUUCAGAGAGACAGCUGUUGAGCUUGGAAAAGGCCCAAAGUCAAUACAAUAAUGACUUCCCCUCCCGGCUAUAUCCCAGGCCCCUCUGUGUCAUUCAGAAAUUGGCUAAUAAAGUUCACUUUGAUAUGAGAGGAGCCCUAUUAAGAAUUCUCCAAGAUUCCCCAAUCCCCUGAAAUCUGUCAAUAGGAGAAGAUAUGUUGGCGUGGUAUGCUGGAUGGGGGUCACCCCUUCUGUGUCCCUAGUCCUCACCCUGGGGUCAGUUGAGGCUGAGAGCAAGGGGAGAAGAAAGAAGGAGGAAUCCGUGAAGAAAGUCUGGCUAAAGUCUUAGCCAACCCCAAAAAGGACCCACCUGGCAUGGCUACCCCUUUGCCCUAACUUGACGGGCCAACCUCACCCCAGGCAGUGCUCCCAGGUUAGGUGGGAAACCACAGCACCUAAUUACUAUGAUCAUCACACUGGUGACUGUGGUGAUUAUGAUGGUGCCUCUAUCCCACAGUGCUUAGCAGUAUUUAAUUACUGUUAUUCCAAUGGAGAUCACUGCAGAGCCUUGGCUGCCAUUGCUCUUGCGGAUGGAGCAACUAUACACAGCUGCACCCACUCCUCAGUCCAAUGAUCCACCGUGUUGAAGUGCUGCCAAGAUAGUUAGCAGACACCAGCCUCUUCCUAUGGGCCAUGGUGUCCCAGGGAUCUGCAUGGCAUUUGGGGCUGGAGCUCUGAGCAGUGAGAGAAAGGCUCCAGUGCCAUCUUGAACCAUCCAACUCUCCGGAAAGAAGGGAAAUUGAUCUAUGCCCUAUGUCUAUGGUCAGAAGGCCCUCGAUAUACGCCUGUGAAUCACUGUAACCCAAAUCCUGAAGAAUUCUCAAUGUGCAUAGAGGUGGCAUUCCUGAUUAGGGAUGGGAACACUUAAAACUCAACAGUGGUACUGAGAAGAGGGUUUCAUCGAGGAUCCGCGUAGACCAGAGAGCUUAGGUCAUGAAAAUGGGAAGGGACGGAGUGGAGCUUCCGCGUGGAGCAUACCUUAUGUAGAAAGACAAAAGGAAAAGGGGCCUUGAGAAAGGAAGAUAUUCAACCUCCCACCCAUACUCUCUUUCCUUUGAUGAUGCCCUUAUAUUCAGGGGUGGGUAUUAUGGUCAGGAUAAUUAUCAGGAUGGACUACUUGUCUAGAGGAACGAGAUUUUUCUGGCAAGUUACAUGGAAACCAAGGAAUAGAAUGUAUUAUUAGGGAAGAACGGAGUUCCUGGAUCAGCCCAAGCCCAGCAGAACAAGCUCAGGGUGGACGCCUGCCUGGGAGUGGGGAGAUGAAAUAGGGGCUAUAGAGCUGGGGGUCUUACCUUUUUGGGCCUCAGACCUUUUCAGGAUCUGAUGAGCACUAUGUCUUUCCCCAAAAACUGCACAUACGCACAAGGACAGUGUCUGCAUGGCAACCUGAUGAAGCCCAGCUGGGGCCUUGAGUUAGAAUCCCUGCUGAAGAAGGAGUGCUUUGGGAGGGAGGCAGCCCUGAGCCCAGACUCCCUGUGAUCUGGGCUAAUGAAGGAUGCUAGUGACAUGGAGAGUCCCAAGCAGCGAGGAAAAUCCAAGCCAGACUUUAUAAUGUGAAGUGAAAAGAACAAGUAUUAUCCAUAGACUGCACUACAAUUCUGUAAAAAUAGGCACUUAUAAAGAGAAAAAUGUAAAGGCGACAUGGAGAAAUGAAAAUAAUUUGUGGGUGAAGAGUUUUUAUUUUA
Cebus imitator (Panamanian white-faced capuchin) is the source of this 3043-nucleotide long non-coding RNA. RefSeq lists it as uncharacterized. NCBI's taxonomy places the organism in Eukaryota, Metazoa, Chordata, Mammalia, Primates, Cebidae. The record is from RefSeq and is a predicted model, not a curated record. The transcript has 3 exons.